CGCCCUGACUCUUAGACUGCUUGAGCUGGGUGAAGUACUGCAAGGCGAAUUCCAGCAGGUCCUCGGGCUGUUUUCGUAACACCUCCACGCGAUGAUGAUGAAUCCCUCUUCCACGCUGUGGCUCUGGCUCUCCCCAGGCUCUCACUUGUGGCGACACCGCAGUCGGCGGCAAUAAGGGUAUGAGAGGCACGCUUAGGCUGCGCUGCGAACCCUUAUCGUUUCCGGGGAAGAUGGUGAAGCUGUUGUGUUGUCCUUGUCACUUCUCCCGGAUUAACAGGCCCCCAAGCUCACACAAGGCGCAGACCAAAUACAACUGAGCAUACAAAGUGCUGCAUCCUCCGCCUCCCGCCCGCAGCCGCCUGUCAAUCAAAUGGGAGCCAGCAGCGUGCAUGUGACCACCGGAAACCAUGGCAACCCUCCAUCUCAAGCAUUGCGUGUGGAGCAGGUGCGGAUACAGACUGGCGGGGAUGCUGCGCAGAAAACGACCAAUGUGGCCGAAGGGGACUCCGAUUUCAGCAAAGAAUGAAAGUGGGUUAAGGGCUCAGAGAUGGCAGACUAUCAGCAGCAGUCUGUUUUAUUUAUACUACACUAUAAGGCUCUAAUUGUCUUCACUAGAAAGGCCCUCGCUUUCCUUUGAUUUUUCCUACUGGUAUCCCCAUUUUCUUACAACGAAUAUGUUGUCUCUGUAUGACCAGCUUUUAAUUAUUUAUAAAUAUAUAUAUAUAUUUGCUUGAAAA
Long non-coding RNA from Xenopus tropicalis (tropical clawed frog), 737 nucleotides. RefSeq lists it as uncharacterized. Lineage: Eukaryota; Metazoa; Chordata; Amphibia; Anura; Pipidae. The transcript has 2 exons. The record is from RefSeq and is a predicted model, not a curated record.